RNAcentral lists this ribosomal RNA (539 nucleotides) under uncultured bacterium. RNAcentral describes it as "bacterial SSU rRNA". It matches the Rfam family "Bacterial small subunit ribosomal RNA", at positions 777 to 1304 of the family's 1533-position model. The record is from RNAcentral.
AAUAGAUACCCGGGUAGUCCCAGCCGUAAACGAUGAGUGCUAGGUGUGAGGGGUAUCGACCCCCCUCGUGCCGGAGUUAACGCAAUAAGCACUCCGCCUGGGGAGUACGGCCGUAAGGUUGAAACUCAAAGGAAUUGACGGGGGCCCGCACAAGCAGCGGAGCAUGUGGUUUAAUUCGAAGCAACGCGUAGAACCUUACCAGGGCUUGACAUGUGAGGGAAUCCGGCCGAAAGGUUGGAGUGCUCUUCCGGAAGGGAGAGAACCCUGACACAGGUGGUGCAUGGUUGUCGUCAGCUCGUGUCGUGAGAUGUUGGGUUAAGUCCCGCAACGAGCGCAACCCCUGUUGCAUGUUGCCAGCACGUGAGGGUGGGCACUCAUGCGAGACUGCCGGCGACAAGCCGGAGGAAGGUGGGGAUGACGUCAAAUCAUCAUGCCCCUGAUGUCCUGGGCUACACACGUGCUACAAUGGCCGUCACAGAGCGAACCGAACCCGUGAGGGGGAGGGAAACGCAAAAGGCGGUCGUAGUUCGGAUCGCAGG